CUACAACCAGCUACUGGUUGAUCUUACAUUUGAUCUGGUGUGCAAUGGCUGCAAACAGCAGCCUCCUUGGUGGUGUUUGCAGCCUGUUGCUUUGUAUGAGUUGCCCUAAUGGACCUUGGAGACAGCC
This is a small nucleolar RNA of Pongo abelii (Sumatran orangutan), 127 nucleotides long. Its record names the gene SNORA70. It matches the Rfam family "Small nucleolar RNA SNORA70". Rfam says of the family: snoRNA U70 seems to be exclusive to mammals and is a member of the H/ACA class of snoRNA which contain H (ANANNA) and ACA box motifs. H/ACA box snoRNAs are involved in the conversion of uridines to pseudouridines (5-ribosyluracil) a constituent of structural RNAs (transfer, ribosomal, small nuclear, and small nucleolar). Lineage: Eukaryota; Metazoa; Chordata; Mammalia; Primates; Hominidae. The record is from Ensembl.